UGCCUAAAGCCAAAAAGAAGAUAACAAUUUACAAGUUCCAAAAUGAAGAAAGACUAAGACUUGCAACUCUCUGAAAACUGGGAAACUACAACUAAUUGACAAUCCUGAACUUUGGGACCAACAUAGGCAGAGUGAUUAUAUCUUCUACAGCCUCCACAAAUUAGAGAUAUUACUAGAAGACUGAUGGAUGCAAGCUGCAUUCUACAUCUUAACUAAAAAACAAUGGUGAUGUCUUAAAGCUACAGGUUAUCAGAUGCCAGUUAAAAUAUGAAGUAAAAUAAAGAUCCCAUGUGUAAGAGUUUAUAGCUUCAAAAUUCACAAGCUAUGUUAUCAAAGCUCUAUUCAAAAUAACUUCUAGUGAUGCUUUUCCUGGACCACUACUCCUGUGCUACUGCUACAAUGUGUAUAUAUCUUUAUUACCAUACACAUAUGCGUGUCCCAAUACACUCAUCACAUCACUUAGAGGGUGAGCUGAUACUUCUGUUUGACUCUCUUACACUUGUUGAACCACGUAUUCUCGUCCAUGAUGAAAGGAGGCCCCACGUUCUCAGGAGAGCUGCUCUCACUGCCACUGCUUCCCAGCGUCCUCAGCUCCUCCUCAUCACUGCUGAUACUGUCAGAGCUGGGAAGAUUGAACGUUUAAAAAGAAAGUUAAUACUGUGUUCCACUUGGAUUUUUAAGAAAUACUUCUGUAUUUUCAAGCUACUGCUCUGGCCUAAUUAUAACCUUUUAGAAGUAUGUAAAGAUCAUCAUUCUAUUCAGGAAAUCAAUAAGUGAAGGCAGACCGUCAGAAAAAUCUAUGGAUUUCAUUUGAUUAAUUUUCAAUGCUGAUGAGAUUAUGGGAAAUCCAUAACUCUCACACAAGACUGGAAAUUGGUACAACUCUUUUAUAAAAGUAGACUUUAAGAGCCAUAAAUUUU
Long non-coding RNA from Myotis myotis, 920 nucleotides. RefSeq lists it as uncharacterized. The record is from RefSeq and is a predicted model, not a curated record. The transcript is spliced from 5 exons. NCBI's taxonomy places the organism in Eukaryota, Metazoa, Chordata, Mammalia, Chiroptera, Vespertilionidae.